UAAAAGGGCUUUUGUCGUCAGUGGCACAGUGGGAUUCUUAUUAGGGUCUCAUUGCGGAAUCGCUAUCAAGAGAUUUCGGAAGCAUAAUUUUUGUAACCUGGGUAGUCAGACUGUUGCUUGCAGUGACGCCCUC
This 133-nucleotide small nuclear RNA is filed under the name Amphimedon queenslandica. RNAcentral's name for it is "U11 spliceosomal RNA". It matches the Rfam family "U11 spliceosomal RNA". Lineage: Eukaryota; Metazoa; Porifera; Demospongiae; Haplosclerida; Niphatidae. The record is from Rfam by way of RNAcentral.